This is a non-coding RNA of Triticum urartu, 135 nucleotides long. Lineage: Eukaryota; Viridiplantae; Streptophyta; Magnoliopsida; Poales; Poaceae. The record is from Rfam.
GUGAUACUCCCUCCGUCCGAAAAUACUUGUCAUCAAAAUAGAUAAAAAGAGAUGUAUCUAGAACUAAAAUACAUCUAGAUACAUCCCCUUUUAUCCAUUUUGAUGACAAGUAUUUCCGGACGGAGGGAGUAUUUA